CCUACGGGUGGCAGCAGUGGGGAAUAUUGGACAAUGGGCGAAAGCCUGAUCCAGCCAUGCCGCGUGUGUGAAGAAGGCCUUCGGGUUGUAAAGCACUUUCAGUGGGGAAGAAAGCCUUGGGGCUAAUACCCUCGAGGAAAGACAUCACCCACAGAAGAAGCACCGGCUAACUCCGUGCCAGCAGCCGCGGUAAUACGGAGGGUGCGAGCGUUAAUCGGAAUUACUGGGCGUAAAGCGCGCGUAGGCGGUCUGAUAAGCCGGUUGUGAAAGCCCCGGGCUCAACCUGGGAACGGCAUCCGGAACUGUCAGGCUAGAGUGCAGGAGAGGAAGGUAGAAUUCCCGGUGUAGCGGUGAAAUGCGUAGAGAUCGGGAGGAAUACCAGUGGCGAAGGCGGCCUUCUGGACUGACACUGACGCUGAGGUGCGAAAGCGUGGGUAGCAAACAGGAUUAGAUACCCUAUAGUC
Molecule: ribosomal RNA, 464 nt
Filed under: Vreelandella stevensii
Lineage: Bacteria; Pseudomonadati; Pseudomonadota; Gammaproteobacteria; Oceanospirillales; Halomonadaceae
Description: partial 16S ribosomal RNA
Rfam family: Bacterial small subunit ribosomal RNA
Source: RNAcentral